This 148-nucleotide non-coding RNA is filed under the name Gorilla gorilla gorilla (western lowland gorilla). The record is from Rfam by way of RNAcentral. Lineage: Eukaryota; Metazoa; Chordata; Mammalia; Primates; Hominidae.
GCCGGGUGUGGUAGUGUGCACCUGUAGUCCCAGCUACUUGGGAGGCUGAGGCAAGAGGAUCACUUGAGCCCAGGAGUUUCAGGCUGCAGUGAGCCAUGAUCAUGCCACUGCACUCCAGGCUGGGCAACAUAGCAAGACCCUGUCUUUU